AUUAGCCAUGCAUGUCUCAGUACAAGCCUCAUUAAGGUGAAACCGCGAAUGGCUCAUUAAAUCAGUUAUGGUUCCUUGGAUCUUACCCACACUUACAUGGAUAACUGUGGUAAUUCUAGAGCUAAUACAUGAACCUCGUGCCCCGACCAGUGAUGGAAGGGGCGCUUUUAUUAGAACAAAACCAAUCGGUCGGCUCGUCCGUCCGUUGCCUUGGUGACUCUGAAUAACUUUGGGCUGAUCGCACGGUCCCAGCACCGGCGACGCAUCUUUCAAAUGUCUGCCUUAUCAACUUUCGAUGGUAGGUUCUGCGCCUACCAUGGUUGUAACGGGUGACGGGGAAUCAGGGUUCGAUUCCGGAGAGGGAGCCUGAGAAACGGCUACCACAUCCAAGGAAGGCAGCAGGCGCGCAAAUUACCCACUCCCGGCACGGGGAGGUAGUGACGAAAAAUAACGAUACGGGACUCAUCCGAGGCCCCGUAAUCGGAAUGAGAACACUUUAAAUCCUUUAACGAGGAUCUAUUGGAGGGCAAGUCUGGUGCCAGCAGCCGCGGUAAUUCCAGCUCCAAUAGCGUAUAUUAAAGUUGUUGCGGUUAAAAAGCUCGUAGUCGGAGGUGUGUCUCGGACGGUCGGUUCGCCGCUUGUCGGUGCUCAACUGGCCGGUCCGGACGUCCUGCCGGUGGGGCUGUAAAAGGCUCCGUUAUCCUUCUUUGGUCCUCUUCAUUGAGUGCCUUGGUGGGCCGGCACGUUUACUUUGAACAAAUUAGAGUGCUCAAAGCAGGCCGUUGGUCGCCUGAAUACUGUGUGCAUGGAAUAAUGGAAUAGGACCUCGGUUCCAUUUUGUUGGUUUUCAGAACUCGAGGUAAUGAUUAAUAGGGACGGACGGGGGCAUUCGUAUUGCGACGUUAGAGGUGAAAUUCUUGGAUCGUCGCAAGACGAACCGAUGCGAAAGCAUUUGCCAAGAACGUUUUCGUUGAUCAAGAACGAAAAGUUAGAGGUU
This 997-nucleotide ribosomal RNA is filed under the name Lamelligomphus ringens. RNAcentral's name for it is "SSU rRNA". It matches the Rfam family "Eukaryotic small subunit ribosomal RNA", at positions 44 to 998 of the family's 1831-position model. Lineage: Eukaryota; Metazoa; Arthropoda; Insecta; Odonata; Gomphidae. The record is from RNAcentral.